UGGGGAAUAUUGCGCAAUGGGCGGAAGCCUGACGCAGCGACGCCGCGUGAGCGAUGAAGGCCUUCGGGUCGUAGAGCUCUGUUGGAAGGGAACGAAAACGUCCAUGGUUAAUAUCCAUGGGCCCUGACGGUACUCUUCCAGAAAGCACCGGCUAACUCCGUGCCAGCAGCCGCGGUAAUACGGAGGGUGCUAGCGUUGUUCGGAAUCAUUGGGCGUAAAGCGCGGGUAGGCGGGGCGGCGUGUCGGAUGUGAAAGCCCGCGGCUUAACCGAGGAAUUGCAUCCGAAACUGUCGCUCUUGAGUACGGGAGAGGGAAGCGGAAUUUCCAGUGUAGAGGUGAAAUUCGUAGAUAUUGGAAGGAACACCGGUGGCGAAGGCGGCUUCCUGGACCGAUACUGACGCUGAGACGCGAAAGCGUGGGUAGCAAACA
Molecule: ribosomal RNA, 429 nt
Filed under: uncultured bacterium
Lineage: Bacteria
Description: bacterial SSU rRNA
Rfam family: Bacterial small subunit ribosomal RNA
Source: RNAcentral